CGUAGACGACGCUGGCGGCGUGCCUAACACAUGCAAGUCGAGCGGGACAUUGCGACGGAGACGAAGUACUCGUACGGAGUACAAAGAUGUAAUGUUCUAGCGGCGGACGGGUGAGUAACGCGUGAGCAACCUCGUCCCGUUAACGAGGGGGAUAACACAGCGAAAGUUUGUACUAAUACCGCAUAAGACCACAGAGUGACAUCGCUCAGGGGUCAAAGGAGCAAUCCGGUAAGGGGUGGGCUCGCGUCCGAUUAGAUAGUUGGUGAGGUAACGGCCCACCAAGUCGACGAUCGGUAGCCGACCUGAGAGGGUGAUCGGCCACAUUGGGACUGAGACACGGCCCAAACUCCUACGGGAGGCAGCAGUGGGGAAUAUUGGGCAAUGGGGGAAACCCUGACCCAGCAACGCCGCGUGAGGGAAGAAGGUUUUCGGAUCGUAAACCUCUGUCCCAGGUGAAGAGGAAGAGACGGUAGCCUGGGAGGAAGCCCCGGCUAACUACGUGCCAGCCGCCGC
Molecule: ribosomal RNA, 513 nt
Filed under: uncultured bacterium
Lineage: Bacteria
Description: bacterial SSU rRNA
Rfam family: Bacterial small subunit ribosomal RNA
Source: RNAcentral